ACGCACGCUGGCGGCGUGCCUAAUACCUGCCAGUCGCACGCUUCUUUCCUCCCGAGUGCUUGCACUCAAUUGGAAAGAGGCGUGGCGGACGGGUGAGUAACACGUGGGUAACCUACCCAUCAGAGGGGGAUAACACUUGGAAACAGGUGCUAAUACCGCAUAACAGUUUAUGCCGCAUGGCAUAAGAGUGAAAGGCGCUUUCGGGUGUCGCUGAUGGAUGGACCCGCGGUGCAUUAGCUAGUUGGUGAGGUAACGGCUCACCAAGGCAACGAUGCAUAGCCGACCUGAGAGGGUGAUCGGCCACACUGGGACUGAGACACGGCCCAGACUCCUACGGGAGGCAGCAGUAGGGAAUCUUCGGCAAAGGACGAAAGUCUGACCGAGCAACGCCGCGUGAGUGAAGAAGGUUUUCGGAUCGUAAAACUCUGUUGUUAGAGAAGAACAAGGACGUUAGUAACUGAACGUCCCCUGACGGUAUCUAACCAGAAAGCCACGGCUAACUACGUG
This 507-nucleotide ribosomal RNA is filed under the name uncultured bacterium. RNAcentral describes it as "partial 16S ribosomal RNA". It matches the Rfam family "Bacterial small subunit ribosomal RNA", at positions 29 to 507 of the family's 1533-position model. The record is from RNAcentral.